Molecule: small nuclear RNA, 104 nt
Organism: Heterocephalus glaber (naked mole-rat)
Lineage: Eukaryota; Metazoa; Chordata; Mammalia; Rodentia; Bathyergidae
Source: Ensembl
AUGCUCACUUUGACAACAUAUAUACUAAAAUUGGAACAAUACAGAGAUUAGCACAGGCCCAAUGCAAGGCUUACAUACAAAUGUGUGAAUCAGUCCGUAUUUUU